UUGUAAUUUCUGGUAAGCGAGUAAUGGUGCCAUCAGAGAGAGGGAUGAUGCGGAGGUGCUUGUAGGGAUCGAUGGUGAGAUUUUCCGGUGAAGUUUGAGUUGACAUAAUGAUUGCUUGUAAUGGUUUUGAAUCGGAAGAAUGUGGUUAGAGGAUAUUGUGAGUGUGAACUCUUGUGUUGUGCAUCAACUCAGUUAUAAAUGCCUAACUGAUGGAAAAGGCCUUAAUGGUUGGUGAAG
This 237-nucleotide unclassified non-coding RNA is filed under the name Hevea brasiliensis (rubber tree). The record is from RNAcentral. Lineage: Eukaryota; Viridiplantae; Streptophyta; Magnoliopsida; Malpighiales; Euphorbiaceae.